AAAAAAAAAAAACAGUGGGAAAGAACGUUAACGUUGAAAUAUCUCAGGGCGAUGGUGGGGCCCACUUUGAGAUGUGGAUCCACCUCAUUUUUGGGUCCAUGCCCUCAAAUGAGAUAGAAAAAUAGAUGGACUGGUGAAUUUCUUACAAACAUCAAAGUGGACCACGUACAGUCAGGGUGGGCUGGUACGGUACUAAUCCAACUUGCGAAUUGCAAUUGCCAGCUGCCGUAAAGCAAGGGCAGUUUUGUACAUUUUAAAAAUAUAAAAAUCAAUUCGUCGACUAACAGUUUGAACUAUAAGCAGGUUCAUAGAAAUAUUUAAAAAGCAGAAGGUUUUUGGUCUACAGCCAAAAAGCAGCGGCCACAUGACAAAAUCGUUAAUAAUAAAAAGAAAAACGUAGGUCGUACAGCGCCUUCCGGGUGACCGCAGUUACCUUGGCCAAAAUAUCUAUUAAGUCAAGCCCAUCUUAUCCGAAUGCGGCUUGUGAAUGGGCUUGGAUGGACUUAAUGCUGAACACGUGUGCGAAGUUGUACACGUACAGCUGGACUAUCUCAGACAAAUGAGUGAAAUUAGCAUUCCUCCCUCUUGCUGCGACAUUGCACGCACCGAGGACUGAAUUGAAGAGCGUCUCGGACAGAUUAGUGAAAUUAACAUCCCUCUUCUGCUUCAUCACUACACGCAUCGAGGAAAUAAUUUUCACACGCCCAUACCCAACGCUUCUCCAUCUCUCUUCUCUGCAGACUGAAAUCACGUUUCGAGUGAAUUCACGUUUCUUGAAAACCGAAUUAAAAUAGUAGGUGUAUGCGAGUCUUUUCCUAAAGUGGGUGAGAUUUUGGGCAGAGCCUCAACUGAAGAAAAAAGUAAGCUCUACCAUUUUACACUCAAUUAAAAAGCUCAUGCAUAGCUCUCUCUCUCUCUCUCU
Molecule: long non-coding RNA, 922 nt
Organism: Magnolia sinica
Lineage: Eukaryota; Viridiplantae; Streptophyta; Magnoliopsida; Magnoliales; Magnoliaceae
Exons: 3
Source: RefSeq, a predicted model, not a curated record